AAUCAAGCGCGAAAAGGGCGUUUGGUGAAUGCCUUGGCAGCAAGAGGCGAUGAAGGACGUGAUACUCUGCGAUAAGCGUUGGUGAGCCGAGAAUAGGCUUUGACCCAGCGAUCUCCGAAUGGGGCAACCCACCUGAUACUCUGUUAUUAUUGCUUCGCAAUAAUACGCACUCCGUGCCGAGCGUAGCUCGGUACACCAAUUCCUUCGGGAAUUGGCACUGGGUGCGUAGCGGCGCAGUUAAUAGCAGGGUUAACCAGGUACUUUUGACCUGAAUAUAUAGGGUUAAAAGAGCAAACCCGGGGAACUGAAACAUCUAAGUACCCGGAGGAAAGGAAAUCAACAGAUACUCCCCUAGUAGCGGCGAGCGAACGGGGACCAGCCGAGCCGUGAGAGUGACCAGAACGACCUGGGAAGGUCGGCCAUAGCGGGUGAUAGCCCCGUAUGGGAAGCUCGAUCGGACGUAUUAAGUAGGGCGGGACACGUGAAAUCCUGUCUGAACAUGGGGGGACCACCCUCUAAGGCUAAGUACUCCUUGCUGACCGAUAGUGAACCAGUACCGUGAGGGAAAGGUGAAAAGCACCCCGACGAGGGGAGUGAAACAGUUCCUGAAACCGAACGCCUACAAUCAGUCGGAGGGCCCUCGAGGCCUGACGGCGUACCUUUUGUAUAAUGGGUCAUCGACUUGGUCUCACAAGCAAGCUUAAGCCGUUAGGUGUAGGCGCAGCGAAAGCGAGUCUUAAUAGGGCGCAUGAGUUUGUGGGAUCAGACCCGAAACCGAGUGAUCUAGGCAUGUCCAGGAUGAAGGUAGGGUAACACCUACUGGAGGUCCGAACCCACACCUGUUGAAAAAGGUCGGGAUGAGGUGUGCCUAGGGGUGAAAGGCCAAUCAAACUCGGAGAUAGCUGGUUCUCCGCGAAAUCUAUUUAGGUAGAGCGUCAUCCGAAUACCCUCGGGGGUAGAGCACUGGAUGGGUAAUGGGGCCCCACAGGCUUACUGAUCCUAACCAAACUCCGAAUACCGAGGAGUACUAGAUGGCAGACACACGGCGGGUGCUAACGUCCGUCGUGGAGAGGGAAACAACCCUGACCUACAGCUAAGGCCCCUAAUUCAUGGCUAAGUGGGAAAGCAUGUGAGACGACCAAAACAACCAGGAGGUUGGCUUAGAAGCAGCCAUCCUUUAAAGAUAGCGUAACAGCUCACUGGUCUAGAUAAGUUGUCUUGCGGCGAAGAUGUAUCGGGGCUCAAGCCAUGAGCCGAAGCUUAGGAUGUAUCGUAAGAUACGUGGUAGCGGAGCGUAGUGUGAAAUAGUCUCGUGUGUCCUUACCGGGCUUGCCCGGAUUGGACACAAGAGGCUUUCGAUGAAGCCGGGGCGUGAGCCAUCCGGUGGAGAGAUCACUAGCGAGAAUGAUGACAUGAGUAGCGACAAACAGGGUGAGAGACCCUGUCGCCGAAAGUCCAAGGGUUCCUGCUUAAAGCUAAUCUGAGCAGGGUAAGCCGACCCCUAAGGCGAGGCCGAAAGGCGUAGUCGAUGGGAACCAGGUUAAUAUUCCUGGGCCAGAUGGAAGUGACGGAUCUCGAGGGUUGUUCGUUCUUAUCGGAUUGAACGGGCCGCUUAGAGGUUCCUGGAAAUAGCUCCAUCGCUAGAUCGUACCCUAAACCGACACAGGUGGACUGGUAGAGAAUACCAAGGCGCUUGAGAGAACGAUGUUGAAGGAACUCGGCAAAAUACCUCCGUAAGUUCGCGAGAAGGAGGCCCGGUUUCCAGGCAACUGGAGGCUGGGGGCACAAACCAGGGGGUGGCGACUGUUUACUAAAAACACAGGGCUCUGCGAAGUCGCAAGACGACGUAUAGGGUCUGACGCCUGCCCGGUGCUGGAAGGUUAAAAGGAGAGGUGCAAGCCUUGAAUUGAAGCCCCAGUAAACGGCGGCCGUAACUAUAACGGUCCUAAGGUAGCGAAAUUCCUUGUCGGGUAAGUUCCGACCUGCACGAAUGGCGUAACGACUUCCCCGCUGUCUCCAACAUCGACUCAGCGAAAUUGAAUUGCCUGUCAAGAUGCAGGCUUCCCGCGGUUAGACGGAAAGACCCCGUGCACCUUUACUACAGCUUCACACUGGCAUCAGGCCAAGCAUGUGCAGGAUAGGUGGUAGGCUUUGAAGCAGUCACGCUAGUGGCUGUGGAGCCAUCCUUGAGAUACCACCCUUGCUUCGCUUGAUGUCUAACCGCGGUCCGUUAUCCGGAUCCGGGACCCUGUGUGGCGGGUAGUUUGACUGGGGCGGUCGCCUCCCAAAGAGUAACGGAGGCGUGCGAAGGUUGGCUCAGAGCGGUCGGAAAUCGCUCGUUGAGUGCAAUGGCAGAAGCCAGCCUGACUGCGAGACUGACAAGUCGAGCAGAGACGAAAGUCGGCCAUAGUGAUCCGGUGGUCCCGAGUGGAAGGGCCAUCGCUCAACGGAUAAAAGGUACGCCGGGGAUAACAGGCUGAUGGUGCCCAAGAGUCCAUAUCGACGGCACCGUUUGGCACCUCGAUGUCGGCUCAUCUCAUCCUGGGGCUGGAGCAGGUCCCAAGGGUACGGCUGUUCGCCGUUUAAAGAGGUACGUGAGCUGGGUUUAGAACGUCGUGAGACAGUUCGGUCCCUAUCUGCCGUGGGUGUAGGAUACUUGAGAGGAGUUGCCCCUAGUACGAGAGGACCGGGGUGAACGAUCCACUGGUGGACCAGUUGUCAUGCCAAUGGCAGUGCUGGGUAGCUAUGAUCGGAAAGGAUAACCGCUGAAGGCAUCUAAGCGGGAAGCCCCCCUCAAAACAAGGUAUCCCUGAGGACCGUGGUAGACCACCACGUCGAUAGGCCGGAGAUGUAAGCGCAGCAAUGCGUUCAGUUGACCGGUACUAAUUGUCCGAUAGGCUUGAUUUG
This 2907-nucleotide ribosomal RNA is filed under the name Palleronia pontilimi. Its description in RNAcentral is "Bacterial large subunit ribosomal RNA". It matches the Rfam family "Bacterial large subunit ribosomal RNA". The record is from Rfam by way of RNAcentral. Lineage: Bacteria; Pseudomonadati; Pseudomonadota; Alphaproteobacteria; Rhodobacterales; Roseobacteraceae.